RNAcentral lists this ribosomal RNA (642 nucleotides) under Triticum aestivum (bread wheat). Its description in RNAcentral is "partial small subunit ribosomal RNA". Lineage: Eukaryota; Viridiplantae; Streptophyta; Magnoliopsida; Poales; Poaceae. The record is from RNAcentral.
AUGAUUAGCAAGGAGGAUUUGUAUGAUGUUCCGAAGAUAAUGGCUCUUCUGUGUCCUGAAGAAGCAAGUUUUGUAAAGCAAGAGACUCCGUUGCCUGAAAAAUCUUAUGGUAAUAAGUCUGGCAAUGUUAUUUCUGGAAACAUUCCUAAGGCUGCACAAGAUAAUGAGAUGGAGCGUAGUAGUGAGAUGGCUUUAGCUGAUGACAUACUCAUUGAGAAGCUUGAGACUCUUCGAGCCGAAGGCCUCGAAAAUCCAAGGGCUCUCAUUGAACUCCUUGUAAGUGCCCUUCCAUGGCUGGAAAUUAACACUCCAGCAGGGAUUGAUAAACGAUUGUUGGACAAUGUCAGGCGCAUCUGCAAUGAGUUCGAAAAUGGUUCUGGCAGAGUGAGGGGAAGAGCUUUUCUUGCUGUGGAGAAGUUGUGCCAAGGUGAGAACAAACUGCAGCUGAUCUUCCGAGUGCUGACUGAGGCCCUCCUAAGGAGGAUUGAAGCGACAAAGAAAAGCAUGAAUGACUGGAGCAGCGCUGCUGCUGUCCAGCCUCAGGCUGAUGCCGACGUAUGCUCACAUGACGACGAACCUGACACGGGAGAAGCUGCGGCCUCGACUUCCAGAAAGGCAGUGCAGAAGCACAAGAGCAAGUAG